GACGAACGCUGGCGGCGUGCUUAACACAUGCAAGUCGAGCGGUAAGGCCCUUUCGGGGGUACACGAGCGGCGAACGGGUGAGUAACACGUGGGUGACCUGCCCUUAGCUCUGGGAUAAGCCUGGGAAACUGGGUCUAAUACCGGAUAUGACUCCAUGACGCAUGUUGUGGGGUGGGAAAGCCUUGUGCGGCUAGGGAUGGGCCCGCGGCCUAUCAGCUUGUUGGUGGGGUGAUGGCCUACCAAGGCGACGACGGGUAGCCGGCCUGAGAGGGCGACCGGCCACACUGGGACUGAGACACGGCCCAGACUCCUACGGGAGGGCAGCAGUGGGGAAUCUUGCGCAAUGGGCGAAAGCCUGACGCAGCGACGCCGCGUGAGGGAUGACGGCCU
Molecule: ribosomal RNA, 390 nt
Filed under: uncultured bacterium
Lineage: Bacteria
Description: bacterial SSU rRNA
Rfam family: Bacterial small subunit ribosomal RNA
Source: RNAcentral